AAACAUCGAACGAAGAGUUUGAUCCUGGCUCAGGAUGAACGCUGACAGAAUGCUUAACACAUGCAAGUCGACUCGAGUCUUCGGACUUGGGUGGCGCACGGGUGAGUAACGCGUAAAGAACUUGCCUCUUAGACCGGGACAACAUCUGGAAACGGAUGCUAAUACCGGAUAUUAUGGUUUUUUCGCAUGG
This 190-nucleotide ribosomal RNA is filed under the name Fusobacterium necrophorum subsp. funduliforme. Its description in RNAcentral is "partial 16S ribosomal RNA". It matches the Rfam family "Bacterial small subunit ribosomal RNA", at positions 1 to 193 of the family's 1533-position model. Lineage: Bacteria; Fusobacteriati; Fusobacteriota; Fusobacteriia; Fusobacteriales; Fusobacteriaceae. The record is from RNAcentral.